GAUGAACGCUGGCGGCGCGCCUAACACAUGCAAGUCGAACGGCACCCACCCUCGGGUGGAAGCGAGUGGCGAACGGCUGAGUAACACGUGGAGAACCUGCCCCCUCCCCCGGGAUAGCCGCCCGAAAGGACGGGUAAUACCGGAUACCCCGGGGUGCCGCAUGGCACCCCGGCUAAAGCCCCGACGGGAGGGGAUGGCUCCGCGGCCCAUCAGGUAGACGGCGGGGUGACGGCCCACCGUGCCGACAACGGGUAGCCGGGUUGAGAGACCGACCGGCCAGAUUGGGACUGAGACACGGCCCAGACUCCUACGGGAGGCAGCAGUGGGGAAUCUUGCGCAAUGGGGGGAACCCUGACGCAGCGACGCCGCGUGCGGGACGGAGGCCUUCGGGUCGUAAACCGCUUUCAGCAGGGAAGAGUCAAGACUGUACCUGCAGAAGAAG
This 442-nucleotide ribosomal RNA is filed under the name uncultured bacterium. Its description in RNAcentral is "bacterial SSU rRNA". It matches the Rfam family "Bacterial small subunit ribosomal RNA", at positions 28 to 490 of the family's 1533-position model. The record is from RNAcentral.